RNAcentral lists this ribosomal RNA (497 nucleotides) under uncultured bacterium. Its description in RNAcentral is "partial 16S ribosomal RNA". It matches the Rfam family "Bacterial small subunit ribosomal RNA", at positions 28 to 507 of the family's 1533-position model. The record is from RNAcentral.
GAUGAACGCUGGCGGCGUGCCUAAUACAUGCAAGUAGAACGCUGAAGGAAGGAGCUUGCUCUUUCCGGAUGAGUUGCGAACGGGUGAGUAACGCGUAGGUAACCUGCCUGGUAGCGGGGGAUAACUAUUGGAAACGAUAGCUAAUACCGCAUAACAGUAGAUGUUGCAUGAUAUCUACUUAAAAGGUGCAAUUGCACCACUACCAGAUGGACCUGCGUUGUAUUAGCUAGUUGGUGAGGUAACGGCUCACCAAGGCGACGAUACAUAGCCGACCUGAGAGGGUGAUCGGCCACACUGGGACUGAGACACGGCCCAGACUCCUACGAGAGGCAGCAGUAGGGAAUCUUCGGCAAUGGACGGAAGUCUGACCGAGCAACGCCGCGUGAGUGAAGAAGGUUUUCGGAUCGUAAAGCUCUGUUGUAAGAGAAGAACGAGUGUGAGAGUGGAAAGUUCACACUGUGACGGUAUCUUACCAGAAAGGGACGGCUAACUACGUG